GGUGGAAUGGUCGAGAGGUUUAAGACAGCACCUUGGAAAGGUGUAGGCCCCCAAAAGGGGUCCGUAGGUUCGAAUCCUACUUCCACCG
RNAcentral lists this transfer RNA (88 nucleotides) under Klebsiella phage vB_KpnM_KB57. It matches the Rfam family "tRNA". From Rfam's summary of the family: Transfer RNA (tRNA) molecules are approximately 80 nucleotides in length. Their secondary structure includes four short double-helical elements and three loops (D, anti-codon, and T loops). The record is from Rfam by way of RNAcentral. RNAcentral also lists the same sequence under 4 other names. Lineage: Duplodnaviria; Heunggongvirae; Uroviricota; Caudoviricetes.